RNAcentral lists this ribosomal RNA (484 nucleotides) under uncultured bacterium. Its description in RNAcentral is "partial 16S ribosomal RNA". It matches the Rfam family "Bacterial small subunit ribosomal RNA", at positions 30 to 507 of the family's 1533-position model. The record is from RNAcentral.
AUUGAACGCUGGCGGCAGGCCUAACACAUGCAAGUCGAGCGGUAGAGAGAAGCUUGCUUCUCUUGAGAGCGGCGGACGGGUGAGUAAUGCCUAGGAAUCUGCCUGGUAGUGGGGGAUAACGUUCGGAAACGGACGCUAAUACCGCAUACGUCCUACGGGAGAAAGCAGGGGACCUUCGGGCCUUGCGCUAUCAGAUGAGCCUAGGUCGGAUUAGCUAGUUGGUGGGGUAAUGGCUCACCAAGGCGACGAUCCGUAACUGGUCUGAGAGGAUGAUCAGUCACACGGGAACUGAGACACGGUCCAGACUCCUACGGGAGGCAGCAGUGGGGAAUAUUGGACAAUGGGCGAAAGCCUGAUCCAGCCAUGCCGCGUGUGUGAAGAAGGUCUUCGGAUUGUAAAGCACUUUAAGUUGGGAGGAAGGGCAGUAAAUUAAUACUUUGCUGUUUUGACGUUACCGACAGAAUAAGCACCGGCUAACUCUGUG